GAUGAAGAACGUAGCGAAAUGCGAUACGUAAUGUGAAUUGCAGAAUUCAGUGAAUCAUCGAAUCUUUGAACGCAUAUUGCGCUCUUUGGUAUUCCGAAGAGCAUGCUUGUUUGAGUAUCAGUAAACACCUCAACCUCUUCUUGAUUUUUCAAAAGGAGGGUGGACUUGAGCUAUCCCAACAACCUUUACCGGUCGGCGGGCGGCUUGAAAUGCAGGUGCAGCUGGACUUUUAUCUGAGCUAAAAGCAUAUCUAUUUAGUCCUCGUCAAACAGGAUUAUUACUUUUGCUGCAGCUAACAUAAAGGAUAAUUGUCCUCUUUGCUGACUGAUGCAGGAUUUUACGACACUUUAUGUGUUGUUCAACUCGAUCUCAAAUCAAGUAAGACUACCCGCUGAACUUAAGCAUAUCAAAGCGGAGGA
RNAcentral lists this unclassified non-coding RNA (419 nucleotides) under soil metagenome. Its description in RNAcentral is "partial contains 5.8S ribosomal RNA, internal transcribed spacer 2, and large subunit ribosomal RNA". The stretch from base 1 to 120 matches the Rfam family "5.8S ribosomal RNA", at positions 35 to 154 of the family's 154-position model. The record is from RNAcentral.